RNAcentral lists this RNase P RNA (287 nucleotides) under Verrucomicrobiota bacterium. RNAcentral describes it as "Verrucomicrobia bacterium (freshwater metagenome) partial RNase P RNA component class A". It matches the Rfam family "Bacterial RNase P class A", at positions 1 to 303 of the family's 367-position model. Rfam says of the family: Ribonuclease P (RNase P) is a ubiquitous endoribonuclease, found in archaea, bacteria and eukarya as well as chloroplasts and mitochondria. The record is from RNAcentral. Lineage: Bacteria; Pseudomonadati; Verrucomicrobiota.
UUCGGAAUCAGGGCAGUCGCCCUUUGUCUGCUUCGGCAGGUGGAGGGAGGAAAGUCCGGACACCAAAGGAUAAUCCGCCCCGGGAAAGCUGGGGGCCGUUUGGGCGCAAGCCUGGGCGGACGGAAAGUGUCACAGAAAAAAUACCGCCUGGCGCAAGCCGGGUAAGGGUGAAAAGGCGGGGUAAGAGCCCACCACCUUUCGGGCAACCGAAAGGGAUGACAAACCACGGAUGGUGCAAGGCCGAACAGGGGGUACGGGUGAUCCGCCCGCUCCGCGCAAGCGGGGCA